This 445-nucleotide ribosomal RNA is filed under the name uncultured bacterium. Its description in RNAcentral is "partial 16S ribosomal RNA". It matches the Rfam family "Bacterial small subunit ribosomal RNA", at positions 354 to 796 of the family's 1533-position model. The record is from RNAcentral.
GUGAGGAAUAUUGCGCAAUGGAGGCAACUCUGACGCAGCCAUGCCGCGUGCAGGAAGAAGGCGCUACGCGUUGUAAACUGCUUUUAACCGGGAAGAAACCCCAGGACGUGUCCUGGGUUGACGGUACCGGAGGAAUAAGCACCGGCUAACUUCGUGCCAGCAGCCGCGGUAAUACGGAGGGUGCAAGCGUUAUCCGGAUUCAUUGGGUUUAAAGGGUGCGUAGGCGGAGCGUUAAGUCAGUGGUGAAAUCCUGCAGCUUAACUGUAGACUUGCCAUUGAUACUGGCGCUCUUGAGUGCGCUUGAAGUGGGCGGAAUGUGCCGUGUAGCGGUGAAAUGCUUAGAUAUGGCACAGAACACCAAUUGCGAAGGCAGCUCACUAAGGCGAUACUGACGCUGAGGCACGAAAGCGUGGGGAUCGAACAGGAUUAGAAACCCCGGUAGUCC